Molecule: ribosomal RNA, 274 nt
Filed under: uncultured bacterium
Lineage: Bacteria
Description: partial 16S ribosomal RNA
Rfam family: Bacterial small subunit ribosomal RNA
Source: RNAcentral
AUACGGAGGGUGCAAGCGUUGUUCGGAAUCACUGGGCGUAAAGGGCGCGCAGGCGGCCUGACAAGUCAGAUGUGAAAGCCCACGGCUUAACCGUGGAAGUGCAUUUGAAACUGUCAGGCUUGAGUACCAGAGGGGGUAGUGGAAUUCCCGGUGUAGAGGUGAAAUUCGUAGAUAUCGGGAGGAAUACCGGUGGCGAAGGCGACUACCUGGCUGGAUACUGACGCUGAGGCGCGAAAGCGUGGGGAGCAAACAGGAUUAGAAACCCUUGUAGUCC